GUGCUCACUUCAGCAGCACAUUUACUAAAAUUGGAACGAUACAAAGAAGAUUUGCAUGGUCCCUGCACAAGGAUGACAGGUAAAUUUGUGAAGCAUUCCAUAUUUUU
Balaenoptera musculus (blue whale) is the source of this 107-nucleotide small nuclear RNA. The record is from Ensembl. Lineage: Eukaryota; Metazoa; Chordata; Mammalia; Artiodactyla; Balaenopteridae.